AUUGAACGCUGGCGGCAGGCCUAACACAUGCAAGUCGAGCGAGCGGCGGACGGGUGAGUAAUGUCUGGGAAACUGCCUGAUGGAGGGGGAUAACUACUGGAAACGGUAGCUAAUACCGCAUACCAUCAGAUGUGCCCAGAUGGGAUUAGCUAGUAGGUGGGGUAACGCCUCACCUAGGCGCCGAUCCCUAGCUGGUCUGAGAGGAUGACCAGGCAACCUGGAACUGAGACACGUUCCAGCCUCCGACGGUAGGCAGAAGUGGGGAAUAUUGCAGAAUGGGCGCAAGCCGGAUGCAGCCAUGCCGCGGGUGUGAAGAAGGACUUCGGUUUGUAAAGCACUUUCAGCGGGGAGGCGUUACCCGCAGAAGAAGCACCGGCUAACUCCGUGCCAGCAGCCGCGGUAAUUC
This 406-nucleotide ribosomal RNA is filed under the name uncultured bacterium. RNAcentral's name for it is "partial 16S ribosomal RNA". It matches the Rfam family "Bacterial small subunit ribosomal RNA", at positions 30 to 526 of the family's 1533-position model. The record is from RNAcentral.